UUGAUGGUUCUAUGCAUAAGCAGGCAAACAGAUACUGGCAACAAAAAUACACUCAUUGAGAAAGUAGGCAUUGCCUGAGCCACACUUUUCAACAA
This is a long non-coding RNA of Ipomoea nil (Japanese morning glory), 95 nucleotides long. RefSeq lists it as uncharacterized. Lineage: Eukaryota; Viridiplantae; Streptophyta; Magnoliopsida; Solanales; Convolvulaceae. The record is from RefSeq and is a predicted model, not a curated record. The transcript has 4 exons.